RNAcentral lists this ribosomal RNA (207 nucleotides) under uncultured bacterium. Its description in RNAcentral is "partial 16S ribosomal RNA". It matches the Rfam family "Bacterial small subunit ribosomal RNA", at positions 568 to 774 of the family's 1533-position model. The record is from RNAcentral.
CGCGUAGGCGGGCUGAUAAGUUGUGGGUGAAAUGCCGAGGCUCAACCUCGGCGCUGCCUGCAAGACUGUUGGUCUUGAGGUAUGGAGGGGAGAGUGGAAUUCCUGGUGUAGCGGUGAAAUGCGUAGAUAUCAGGAGGAACACCGAUGGCGAAGGCAGCUUUCUGGCCAUAUCCUGACGCUGAGGUGCGAAAGCCAGGGUAGCGAACG